This 445-nucleotide ribosomal RNA is filed under the name uncultured bacterium. RNAcentral's name for it is "partial 16S ribosomal RNA". It matches the Rfam family "Bacterial small subunit ribosomal RNA", at positions 354 to 796 of the family's 1533-position model. The record is from RNAcentral.
GUGAGGAAUAUUGCGCAAUGGAGGCAACUCUGACGCAGCCAUGCCGCGUGCAGGAAGAAGGCGCUACGCGUUGUAAACUGCUUUUAACCGGGAAGAAACCCCAGGACGUGUCCUGGGUUGACGGUACCGGAGGAAUAAGCACCGGCUAACUUCGUGCCAGCAGCCGCGGUAAUACGAAGGGUGCAAGCGUUAUCCGGAUUCAUUGGGUUUAAAGGGUGCGUAGGCGGAGCGUUAAGUCAGUGGUGAAAUCCUGCAGCUUAACUGUUGACUUGCCAUUGAUACUGGCGCUCUUGAGUGCGCUUGAAGUGGGCGGAAUGUGCCGUGUAGCGGUGAAAUGCUUAGAUAUGGCACAGAACACCAAUUGCGAAGGCAGCUCACUAAGGCGAUACUGACGCUGAGGCACGAAAGCGUGGGGAUCGAACAGGAUUAGAAACCCGGGUAGUCC